This 259-nucleotide long non-coding RNA is filed under the name Gallus gallus (chicken). The record is from RNAcentral. Lineage: Eukaryota; Metazoa; Chordata; Aves; Galliformes; Phasianidae.
AUUCCCUUUUGCACCAGGAAACGGUUUGUACAAACACACGUCUGACCUGAGUUUCUAUACUUGGAAGCAAGGGCUCCUGCAACAGCACGGUCCACAUCAGCACUGUCAAACACUAUAAAAGGAGCAUGCCCUCCAAGCUCCAUGGAAACUCGCUUCACAGUGCCAGCUGCAUGUUUCAGCAGUAUCUUUCCUGUUGCAGUAGAGCCCGUAAAAGAUAUUUUGGCUACCAAUGGAUCAGUGCACAGAACUUCCCCUACAG